AUUGAACGCUGGCGGCAUGCCUUACACAUGCAAGUCGAACGGCAGCACGGGAGCAAUCCUGGUGGCGAGCGGCGAACGGGUGAGUAAAGUAUCGGAACGUGCCCAGUCGUGGGGGAUAACGUAGCGAAAGUUACGCUAAUACCGCAUACGAUCUAUGGAUGAAAGCGGGGGAUCGCAAGACCUCGCGCGAUUGGAGCGGCCGAUAUCAGAUUAGGUAGUUGGUGGGGUAAAGGCUCACCAAGCCGACGAUCUGUAGCUGGUCUGAGAGGACGACCAGCCAAACUGGGACUGAGACACGGCCCAGACUCCUACGGGAGGCAGCAGUGGGGAAUUUUGGACAAUGGGCGAAAGCCUGAUCCAGCCAUGCCGCGUGCAGGAUGAAGGCCUUCGGGUUGUAAACUGCUUUUGUACGGAACGAAAAGGUUUGGGCUAAUAAGCUGAGCUCAUGACGGUACCGUAAGAAUAAGCACCGGCUAACUACGUGCCAGCCGCCGCCGUAA
RNAcentral lists this ribosomal RNA (500 nucleotides) under uncultured bacterium. RNAcentral's name for it is "partial 16S ribosomal RNA". It matches the Rfam family "Bacterial small subunit ribosomal RNA", at positions 30 to 523 of the family's 1533-position model. The record is from RNAcentral.